RNAcentral lists this ribosomal RNA (360 nucleotides) under Triticum aestivum (bread wheat). RNAcentral describes it as "partial small subunit ribosomal RNA". Lineage: Eukaryota; Viridiplantae; Streptophyta; Magnoliopsida; Poales; Poaceae. The record is from RNAcentral.
AUGACAGGUGGGGACCACACGUCAGCAUCACCUCCUUCUUCCUCCUCAUCUCUCUCUCUCUUUGGAAUUUUAGCGAACACCUCAUGUGCACCUUUGCCGCGGUGGAAGAUCUGCCGGACCUCCCUCUCUCCGUCGACGAGCUCCUCGGCCCCGUCGCCCCUUGCCACCUCUCCUUUCCCUUCCUCCCUGCCUUCGCUUCUCACGCGAGCGAGCUCCCCCUGCCAUGGCGCCUCGGCCUCUGCUCCGUGCACCGCCUGCCAUGGUCGGCCCCAAGCGCCUCCUCCCUGCCUCGCCUGCAGUCCUCCUGCAUCUCCUCCGCAACCCCUGCCUCGCCACGUACUUAUUGAUACACAUCAUUGA